CGACUCUCGGCAACGGAUAUCUCGGCUCUCGCAUCGAUGAAGAACGUAGCGAAAUGCGAUACUUGGUGUGAAUUGCAGAAUCCCGUGAACCAUCGAGUCUUUGAACGCAAGUUGCGCCCGAAGCCUUCGGGCCGAGGGCACGUCUGCCUGGGUGUCACG
Molecule: ribosomal RNA, 159 nt
Filed under: Quiina pteridophylla
Lineage: Eukaryota; Viridiplantae; Streptophyta; Magnoliopsida; Malpighiales; Ochnaceae
Also listed under: 12 other names
Description: 5.8S ribosomal RNA
Rfam family: 5.8S ribosomal RNA
About the family: 5.8S ribosomal RNA (5.8S rRNA) is a component of the large subunit of the eukaryotic ribosome. It is transcribed by RNA polymerase I as part of the 45S precursor that also contains 18S and 28S rRNA.
Source: RNAcentral